RNAcentral lists this transfer RNA (72 nucleotides) under Klebsiella planticola. RNAcentral describes it as "Raoultella planticola tRNA-Gln". It matches the Rfam family "tRNA". From Rfam's summary of the family: Transfer RNA (tRNA) molecules are approximately 80 nucleotides in length. Lineage: Bacteria; Pseudomonadati; Pseudomonadota; Gammaproteobacteria; Enterobacterales; Enterobacteriaceae. The record is from RNAcentral.
UGGGUUAUCGCCAAGCGGUAAGGCACCGGAUUCUGAUUCCGGCAUUCCGAGUUCGAAUCACUCGUACCCCAA